Molecule: ribosomal RNA, 253 nt
Filed under: uncultured bacterium
Lineage: Bacteria
Description: partial 16S ribosomal RNA
Rfam family: Bacterial small subunit ribosomal RNA
Source: RNAcentral
UACGGGGGGGGCAAGCGUUGUUCGGAAUUACUGGGCGUAAAGGGCUUGUAGGUGGCCAACUAAGUCAGACGUGAAAUCCCUCGGCUUAACCGGGGAACUGCGUCUGAUACUGGAUGGCUUGAGUGUGGGAGAGGGAUGCGGAAUUCCAGGUGUAGCGGUGAAAUGCGUAGAUAUCUGGAGGAACACCGGUGGCGAAGGCGGCAUCCUGGACCGACAUUGACGCUGAGGAGCGAAAGCUAGGGGAGCAAACGGG